Molecule: transfer RNA, 84 nt
Filed under: Myxococcales bacterium
Lineage: Bacteria; Pseudomonadati; Myxococcota; Myxococcia; Myxococcales
Also listed under: 1 other name
Description: tRNA-Leu
Rfam family: tRNA
About the family: Transfer RNA (tRNA) molecules are approximately 80 nucleotides in length. Their secondary structure includes four short double-helical elements and three loops (D, anti-codon, and T loops). Further hydrogen bonds mediate the characteristic L-shaped molecular structure. tRNAs have two regions of fundamental functional importance: the anti-codon, which is responsible for specific mRNA codon recognition, and the 3' end, to which the tRNAs corresponding amino acid is attached (by aminoacyl-tRNA synthetases). tRNAs cope with the degeneracy of the genetic code in two manners: having more than one tRNA (with a specific anti-codon) for a particular amino acid; and 'wobble' base-pairing, i.e. permitting non-standard base-pairing at the 3rd anti-codon position.
Source: RNAcentral
GCACGAGUGGCGGAAUUGGCAGACGCACCGGAUUUAGGUUCCGGUUCCCGAGAGGGAGUGAAGGUUCAAGUCCUUUCUCGUGCA